UUCUUCAGAAGUCACCCAAUCUUGAAACUUUCAUAAUUCAGGUUAAGGGGCCUCAAGAUAAAUGGCAAUUAAAUUCCUUUUGUGUGAAGAGCCCACAAGAUAAACAAGAAUAUGCAGAAGCUUACAAGCAUGCAUGGGGUCGCUGAAGUAAAGCUUCCUGCCUGAUUCAUACUGUCAUACAUAUGUAUUUUGAUUUGAUAUGGUAUUUAGCUUAAUUUUUCUAAGUUUAAAAUGAUUUAUUUUGAUUCAUGGUUUCAUGAGUUAAUUUGAUG
This is a long non-coding RNA of Arachis duranensis, 272 nucleotides long. RefSeq lists it as uncharacterized. The record is from RefSeq and is a predicted model, not a curated record. NCBI's taxonomy places the organism in Eukaryota, Viridiplantae, Streptophyta, Magnoliopsida, Fabales, Fabaceae. The transcript is spliced from 3 exons.